UUAAAGUUGUUGCAGUUAAAAAGCUCGUAGUCGGAUUUUGGCAUCACGCCGUACUGUCUGCCGAUUGGUAUGCACGGUUUGGCGGGUGCUUCCUUCCGGAGGCUCGAUCCCUCCUUAACUGAAGGGUUCGUUGGUUCCGGUUCUUCUACUUUGAGAAAAUUAGAGUGUUCAAAGCAGGCCUAUGCUCUGAAUAGGUUAGCAUGGAAUAAUAGAAUAGGACCUUGGUUCUAUUCUGUUGGUUUCUAGGACCGAAGUAAUGAUUAAUAGGGACAGUUGGGGGCAUUCAUAUUCCAUUGUCAGAGGUGAAAUUCUUGGAUUAACGGAAGAUGAACUUCUGCGAAAGCAUCUGCCAAGGAUGUUUUCAUUGAUCAAGAACGAAAGUUAGGGGAUCGAAGACGAUCAGAUACCGUCGUAGUCUUAACCAUAAACUAUGCCGACUAGGGAUGUGGAGGUGUUAACUUUGUACGACCCUCCAUGCACCUUAUGAGAAAUCAAAGUCUAUGGGUUCCGGGGGGAGUAUGGUCGCAAGCCUGAAACUUAAAGGAAUU
RNAcentral lists this ribosomal RNA (548 nucleotides) under uncultured eukaryote. Its description in RNAcentral is "bacterial SSU rRNA". It matches the Rfam family "Eukaryotic small subunit ribosomal RNA", at positions 604 to 1154 of the family's 1831-position model. The record is from RNAcentral.